UAAAAUACAUCGACAUUGUUGCUGGUUGCUGUUGCUUCAUGGUGACUUUUGUCGGAGAUUGGGUCAUCUUAAACCUCUCUUUUUUGGUUUAAGCGACUUAAAAUUUUUCUUUACGAUUCCGUGAACGUUUCUAAGAUUUUUAUUUUCUUAUACGUUUCAGGUUAUCGAUCAAUCAAUUAUAUUAGACGUGGCCGUCGCAUCGGAUCGCGUCCAUAAUAAGACUUUCGUU
Molecule: unclassified non-coding RNA, 229 nt
Filed under: uncultured Glomeromycetes
Lineage: Eukaryota; Fungi; Glomeromycota; Glomeromycetes
Description: sequence contains ITS2
Source: RNAcentral